This is a non-coding RNA of Pelobates cultripes (western spadefoot toad), 403 nucleotides long. Lineage: Eukaryota; Metazoa; Chordata; Amphibia; Anura; Pelobatidae. The record is from the annotation of a GenBank genome assembly.
UUCUGCUUGACCCUCAAACAAAGUGUCGUCUCGUUCUUGGGGGGAAUUGGAUUGUGUGCUGUUACAGUGAGACUGCCAGGAGUGUAAACUGUUCUUAUGGUUUUCCUGUUCGGCUGUUUACAGCAUUCGUGUGCUUCCUGUUCGGGAGUUUGGAGCAUUCCCCUGGUUCCAGUUCAGGAGAUUGGUGAAUUCAUGUGUUUGCAGUUCGGGAUAUUGGUGAUUGCAGUAGCUGUCUGUGCAUCUGAAAAAGGGGAAUAUCGCCUAAACGUUUUUAACCUCGUGUGUAAAACGGUCCAUUACAAUUGGUGGCAAGCGGCGGGAUCAUUCCCACAGCCCAGAAGGACAGCUACAAGGUAACACCCGUCCCUGGAUUUACAAAUUGAGGGUAACGCUAGUAUCCGUA